GUCCUUAAGAAUUUAUUUAAGGUUUAACCUGCCCACUGAAUUAUUUUAAAUGGCCGCAGUAUCUUGACUGUGCAAAGGUAGCAUAAUCAUUAGUUUUUUAAUUGAAAGCUUGUAUGAAUGGUUGGACGAGAUAAAAACUGUCUUUAUUUGAUAUUUAGAAUUUAAUUUUUAAGUUAAAAAGCUUAAAUUUUAUUAAAAGACGAGAAGACCCUAUAGAUCUUUAUAAAUUAUUAAUAAUUUUAUUUAGGAAUUUUUAAUAAAUUAAUUAAGAAAUUUAUUUUAUUGGGGUAAUAGGAAGAUAUAGUAAAUUCUUUUUUUUAUUUAAUUAAAUAUAGUUAUUUUAAUGAUCCAAUAUUAUUGAUUAUAAGAUUAAGUUACCUUAGGGAUAACAGCGUAAUUUUUUUUGAGAGUUCAUAUCGAUAAAAAAGUUUGCGACCUCGAUGUUGGAUUAAAAGUAAUCUUAGGAGCAGAAAUUUAAGAUUUUGGUCUGUUCGACCAUUAAAUUUUUACA
This 511-nucleotide ribosomal RNA is filed under the name Hydrodytes opalinus. Its description in RNAcentral is "partial 16S ribosomal RNA". It matches the Rfam family "Bacterial large subunit ribosomal RNA", at positions 1829 to 2600 of the family's 2925-position model. The record is from RNAcentral. Lineage: Eukaryota; Metazoa; Arthropoda; Insecta; Coleoptera; Dytiscidae.